This 787-nucleotide ribosomal RNA is filed under the name uncultured bacterium. Its description in RNAcentral is "bacterial SSU rRNA". It matches the Rfam family "Bacterial small subunit ribosomal RNA", at positions 8 to 796 of the family's 1533-position model. The record is from RNAcentral.
AGAGUUUGAUCCUGGCUCAGGACGAACGCUGGCGGCGUGCUUAACACAUGCAAGUCGAACGGAAAGGCCCUUUCGGGGGUACUCGAGUGGCGAACGGGUGAGUAACACGUGGGUGAUCUGCCCUGCACUUCGGGAUAAGCUUGGGAAACUGGGUCUAAUACCGGAUAGGACCAUGCCAUGCAUGUGGUGUGGUGGAAAGCUUUUGCGGUGUGGGAUGGGCCCGCGGCCUAUCAGCUUGUUGGUGGGGUGAUGGCCUACCAAGGCGACGACGGGUAGCCGGCCUGAGAGGGUGUCCGGCCACACUGGGACUGAGAUACGGCCCAGACUCCUACGGGAGGCAGCAGUGGGGAAUAUUGCACAAUGGGCGCAAGCCUGAUGCAGCGACGCCGCGUGGGGGAUGACGGCCUUCGGGUUGUAAACCUCUUUCACCAUCGGCGAAGCCUCGUGCUUUUGGGUGGGGUGACGGUAGGUGGAGAAGAAGCACCGGCCAACUACGUGCCAGCAGCCGCGGUAAUACGUAGGGUGCGAGCGUUGUCCGGAAUUACUGGGCGUAAAGAGCUCGUAGGUGGUUUGUCGCGUUGUCCGUGAAAUUCCCUGGCUUAACUGGGGGCGUGCGGGCGAUACGGGCAGACUGGAGUACUGCAGGGGAGACUGGAAUUCCUGGUGUAGCGGUGGAAUGCGCAGAUAUCAGGAGGAACACCGGUGGCGAAGGCGGGUCUCUGGGCAGUAACUGACGCUGAGGAGCGAAAGCGUGGGGAGCGAACAGGAUUAGAUACCCCCGUAGUCC